This is a long non-coding RNA of Rana temporaria (common frog), 211 nucleotides long. RefSeq lists it as uncharacterized. The record is from RefSeq and is a predicted model, not a curated record. The transcript has 3 exons. NCBI's taxonomy places the organism in Eukaryota, Metazoa, Chordata, Amphibia, Anura, Ranidae.
CUCUGUAUUCCCGGGAUUCCACACAGGAAGAUCAGGGUGAAGAUCUGAUGAACAUGAAAGUUGAGGGUGAAGUAGAAGAGACGUAUGUGAGGGAUGAUCAGCAAUAUACGGAGGAGGCUGGAAUGACGAGGACAUUCAUAGAGGAAGACACUUCUACAGAGAAUAGCACAGAUGAUUCCAGUAAUUGGACCCCACCAGAGAGAUGUCCCCG